Setaria italica (foxtail millet) is the source of this 4292-nucleotide RNA transcript. It is a transcript of the gene named protein KINESIN LIGHT CHAIN-RELATED 1, with no coding region annotated. The record is from RefSeq and is a predicted model, not a curated record. Lineage: Eukaryota; Viridiplantae; Streptophyta; Magnoliopsida; Poales; Poaceae. The transcript has 5 exons.
GGAAGGAAACACCGGUCGUCGGCCGAGUCCAUGUCUCCAGUCUCCAGAGCGCGAUGGCGAUCUCCCCAAGCCACACCAGCACCCAGCUUCGCCUAGACUUCUCGGCCCGGCGCUCUGCGCCUCUGCCAUAUACUCGUCGCGUGCCAGCGUGCCGCGCCUUCGCCUUCGCGAGGCACCCAAAAAUUGCUAAAACCCUCGUUCGCCUGCCCAACCGGUAAACCCCAGCGAUGCGGCGGCUCCCGAAAUCCCUCCUCCUCGCCUGCCUCUCCCGGCCACUCCGCCCCCGAUCCCCGCUCCCGCUGCUCCCCACGCCGCCUCCCCACCACCCGCUUCCUCACCGCCUCCCCUUCUCCACCCAAACCCUAACCCCGUCCCCUCCUCCUCCGCCUCCCGAUGCGGCGCCGCCGCCGGCGUCCAAGCCCGCGGGCCUCGCGCUCCUGGAGGCGGCGGAGCUCCACGAGUCCGAGGGCGACCACCGCAAGGCCCUUGACCUCGCCCUCAAGGCGGUUGCCCCGCUGCACGAGUCCCACGGCGGGUGGUCGCUCCCCGUCGCUCGCGCGCUCCGCCUCGCCGGCGCCGCCGCCUCCCGCGUCGGCCUCGCCGGCGACGGGUUCGAGUCCCUCGGCGCCGCCGCGGAGAUCGUCGACCACCUGGCCCCCGCGCGGGGGCGCCGGGAGCCCGAGGUGGCGGCGGUCGGCGCCGCCGUGCACGAGCAGCUGGCGCGCGCGAAGAUGGCCGUGGGGAGGCGGUGGGACGCGGUGGGCGACCUCCGGCGCGCGCUGGAGCUGAAGAGCGGCUGCCUGGAUGAAGGGAGCGCGGAGCUGGGGGACGCCUACAGGGAUGCCGCCGAGGCCUAUGCGGGAGUGCUGGACUUUGACAAGGCGCUGCCGUUGUGUUCCAAGGCGUUGGGGAUUGCAGAGGGGCGAUUCGGUUUGGACUCAAAAGAAGUGGCUAAGGUCCGGCGGCUUCUUGCAGUUGUCUAUACUGGGUUAGGUCGCCAUGUGGAUGCACUGGAGCAAAUUGAGCUGGUUAAGAUGGUGUAUGAGCAAUUGGGAUUGAAUGUCGAGCUUUCCCAGGUUGAAAUUGAUGGGGCCAAUAUCCGUAUUUUGUUGGGGAAAUCGGAGGAGGCGUUGAAUGACCUUAAGAGGGUGAUGAAGCGGGCCGACAAGGAGAGCGAGGAACGUGCACUAGCAUAUGUUGCAAUGGCAAAGAUCUUGACCUCCCAGGAGAGGAUCUCGGACUCAAAACGGUGCUUGGAAAUUGCUCGUGGGAUUAUCGACACAAAUGAUUCCAUGAACCCUGGGCGAGUUGCUGAGGCAUAUGCUGAGAUAUCAUUGUUACACGAGGCAAUGGCAGAGUUUGAAACGUCUUUAAGCUUGAUGAAGAAAACACUUGCAAUUCUCAAGGAUGCCAAGGAGAUGCAGCACAUUGAAGGCAGCAUCUCUGCAAGGAUGGGGUGGCUCCUCCUGCAUUCGGAAAGAGUUGCUGAGGCUGUUCCUUAUCUGGAGACUGCAGUUGAGAAGUUGAAGAAUUGCUUUGGGCCGCAGCACUUUGGGCUAGGUUUUGCUUAUAAGAAUUUGGGCGAGGCCUAUCUCGGGAUGGACCGACCUGAAUCAGCUGUGAAGUUCCUCAUGCUUGCAAAGGGUAUUAUACAUGCUACAUUUGGGCCAACGCAUGAGGAUUCCAUUGACACAACUCAGUCCAUUGCAAAUGCAUACGGCGUGAUGGGAAGCUACAAUCUUGCUAUGGACUUUCAAGAACAAGUCAUAGAUGCUUACAAAAGCUGUGGUGCUGAUUCCUCAGAUGACCUCAGAGAAGCUUGUAGGCUUCGAGAGCAGAUCAAGAUGAAGGCGAAAGGGUUGCGUCAUGCAGUAUUUCCAGCAAAUUCAUUGCCGGUGCUACCUGACCGCAAUGACUAGUGCUUCUUCAUCAAUGCCAAUAUUUAGAUUAUUUGAUGGCUUUUUUCAGUUGACUACCUUUUAGCACUUUGCCAACCAAGCAACAUAUGGACUGUUACAUGGAGGCAGCAGAGAGAACGGCUAAUUUCCCAGUGGGCAUGGCAUUAUGUUUUUACUAGGCAUUUUACAUGUUCUAUGUGAGUUUCUGAUAUUUAGCUAUACUUACUGCAUACAGCUAUUGCCUUGAAAGUAUUGGUGCAUCUAGCUCAGUUGAUUUGAAGGGUGUGUUUGUCUCAGAGGCUCAGGGCAGCCAACCAAACAGCAUCUCCCUGGGGCUAGGCUGAUGCAAACCAAGAAUUUUGCCUAGAGCCUCACUGAACCUUCAACUGGGUCCAACCUUUUUUCAGGAAACCCAGCAGUCCCUUGCCUAAAUGUCUGAAUCUGAUAAUAUGUUAGGCCACCCAGUAGUCCAUUGCCCAUCGACUUACAUCUUUGAUACACUUGGAUCUUUCUUUCAGUUUAGUCCCCUGUGGAGAAUGAGGACUCGUAACACAGGCACAAGCUUGAUGAUAUUCGUGGUGGAAAAUUCUCCAAAUGCAUCUAUUGUGCUUCUAUAUUUGACAUCUGGAUAGUUACAUUGUUAUCUUUUGAGUACCAGACUACACGUGCAGCACCAAAUCUCCAGGUCAAGAGCUUUCCUCUUCUUUUUAAUAGAUGGUUUCUACUCGGGCUCAAUGACAAGCCAUUGUUCCGUAAAAAGGUCCCAGCAUUUACUAUUCUGACGCUGUUUCUAUAACCAAAUAGUUCGGUCAAUAAAUGCAUGUUUGUCUUACGAGAUUGUUUUAUUAUGCAUGUGCUUUAUGCGAAUCUGCUGGAAGACAUUGAAUAUAUACUCAAGUGUAAUCUGAAGUUGGUUUAGCUUGCUAAAGUUUGAUGAAGUUUUAGCAUUUAAAUUGAACUGAUUGAGGAAGCUCAUGAGUCCAUCCUAAUCUGGAAUCUGGUGCCCCCUCAAAUACUAAUCCACUAAGCAUGCUACAGCUAUUAUUUUACAAAUGCAGUUCUGUUGAUAGCCUGGCGAUGUUUCAGUUGAUUCUGUUAGGUUUAUUUUUUCCUAAUUAUAUUGUCUUCACUUAGACUGCUCUGAGUAAUAUGCCACAUUCUUUUUGUCUUUUCCUAUUAUAAUGUUGGCCUUGUGCCUUCUAAAAGAUACUGAACCUUAAAAAGGAGAGUUUAAUGCAUAUUAUGAGGUCCACAUUGUAUUGCAGGAAUUUUAACCAAAUCAGAAAAUCUGUAGUUCCAAGAAGAUCCUGCACGGUGCAGACAUUAAAUACAGUACGCUCAAUUUUAUGGCUAUUUUGGAAUUCAGUUGUGCACCACUGUAACAGAAAUUGGUGGAUCUUGAUGUCUUUUUUGUCAGUUUAUUCGUUUGCUGGCAGCUGGAUGUAUAUGUUUGGCAAGUUGGAAGCAUCAAUUCAGUAACUUCACUGACGUGGGACCGUGGACAAUUUUUCAUGCAUUCUGCACUGCAGCUCAUGGCAGGAUUCAGAAGGGUGAUAGACGCUGGCAGACAAAAGGCAUUCGGAAGAGUGUGUUGCUGGCUGGAAUCCCAAUGGCACGUCUGUUCAUGAGCUCAGCAGUCUGCAAGCCGUGGUCAUGCAUGGGUAUCCUGAGCUACUCCAUAUGCAUCAGAGAUGGCUGCACUGAUAGUUAAUGACGCCUGCUGCUGCAGCUCUGGUUGACCGCUCAGUAACAUCAGACUUCCCCAGAGAUCACUGCAUCAGUCAUGUUCUCUAACUUCCAGUACUCCUACGAUGGUGCAAGCUGCUCAGCUCUAUCACUGCAUCCAUCAUUUUGUUGCCUCAACAGUUGGAUGUGCUCAGAGAUGGCAGAACUACGCAUUUUCCUCGUCUGUCUUCCAUUCAUCAAUUGGCAUUGAUUGCAUUGCCAGUUUGAUUGACUGUGAUGUACUUCUGCAUUUGGCGAUGGAUGGCGAGGGCUCAAUGUGAUUCCUGCUUAGCUUGUGUGUUGCCUCGCUUGUGCGAGUAUGGGCAUGUGGAUUUCAUACCAGUGGUGGAAACUGGGCACAAGACAGCUCAGAAGCCAAACGUUGCAGUGCCUAAAGUUCAUUGAUGCCUCUGCUGUGCUACUGGAGUAUUAGAGUGUGGCCGUGACUCUCUCUAAGGUGUACAAAUGUCUCCACUGUCUCUGCUACAUUUCAGUAUUGCACUAAGGUGCUCAGGAAUACUACUUUUAUGGCCUUGGGGUAAGAGAUCUGUUUGAUUGUUUCUGACACGCUGACUGAGUGCUAGUUCUCUUUUCCGUGGUCACAUACAGUUGCUAUUGUCAGACCCUUAAGUGGAGUGAGGUCGUUAUGUAUUUGUUCCCUUUUGCCUC